RNAcentral lists this ribosomal RNA (392 nucleotides) under uncultured Pseudomonas sp. RNAcentral describes it as "bacterial SSU rRNA". It matches the Rfam family "Bacterial small subunit ribosomal RNA", at positions 994 to 1382 of the family's 1533-position model. Lineage: Bacteria; Pseudomonadati; Pseudomonadota; Gammaproteobacteria; Pseudomonadales; Pseudomonadaceae. The record is from RNAcentral.
UACGAGAUGGAGUUGGUUGGCCUUCGGGUAACGUACUGACACAGGUGCUGCAUGGCGUGUCGUCAGCUCCGUGUCGUGAGAUGUUGGGUUAAGUCCCGUAACGAGCGCAACCCUUGUCCUUAGUUUACCAGCACGUUAUGGUGGGCACUCUAAGGAGACUGCCGGUGACAAACCGGAGGAAGGUGGGGAUGACGUCAAGUCAUCAUGGCCCUUACGGCCUGGGCUACACACGUGCUACAAUGGUCGGUACAAAGGGUUGCCAAGCCGCGAGGCGGAGCUAAUCCCAUAAAACCGAUCGUAGUCCGGAUCGCAGUCUGCAACUCGACUGCGUGAAAUCGGAAUCGCUAGUAAUCGUGAAUCAGAAUGUCACGGUGAAUACGUUCCCGGGCCUU